Molecule: ribosomal RNA, 516 nt
Filed under: Flammocladiella decora
Lineage: Eukaryota; Fungi; Ascomycota; Sordariomycetes; Hypocreales
Description: LSU rRNA
Rfam family: Eukaryotic large subunit ribosomal RNA
Source: RNAcentral
GCGGCAACAGCUCAAAUUUGAAAUCUGGCCCCAGGCCCGAGUUGUAAUUUGCAGAGGAUGCUUUUGGUGCGGUGCCUUCCGAGUUCCCUGGAACGGGACGCCACAGAGGGUGAGAGCCCCGUACGGUCGCGCGCUAAGCCUAUGUAAAGCUCCUUCGACGAGUCGAGUAGUUUGGGAAUGCUGCUCAAAAUGGGAGGUAUACGUCUUCUAAAGCUAAAUAUUGGCCAGAGACCGAUAGCGCACAAGUAGAGUGAUCGAAAGAUGAAAAGCACUUUGAAAAGAGGGUUAAACAGUACGUGAAAUUGUUGAAAGGGAAGCGCUCGUGACCAGACUUGGGCCCGGCGAAUCACCCGGCGUUCUCGCCGGUGCACUUCGCCGGCCCAGGCCAGCAUCAGUUUGCCCCGGGGGACAAAGGUUUCGGGAAUGUGGCUCCCUCGGGAGUGUUAUAGCCCGUUGCGCAAUGCCCUGGGGCGGACUGAGGUACGCGCACCGCAAGGAUGCUGGCGUAAUGGUCAC